Molecule: non-coding RNA, 557 nt
Filed under: Pongo abelii (Sumatran orangutan)
Lineage: Eukaryota; Metazoa; Chordata; Mammalia; Primates; Hominidae
Source: RNAcentral
GUUGACCGAUCCAAGGUCAUGCACAUAGGGUCUAAGACGGAAGAGAACUUCCUGCCCCUCUUGGAGCUUCUAUUUUAGAGGGAGACACGGCCAGACAGGUCUCGAACUCCUGGCCUCAAGUGACCCGCACACCUUGGCCUCCCCAAAUGCUGGGAUUCCAGGCGUGAGCCACCGCGCCUGGCCUGUCCUAGGGAGAAUGAGCCUGAUGACUUUACCAUUUUCCACCUCUAAGAGCCAAUUGCAAAGGAGGCUGGCUGGCAUCUUGUGUCUGUCUAGCAUCUCUGCCAGUUUCUGUAGAAAACCCUCAAGCUGUGCCAAGACGCUCAUGUCUGUGGACACAGCUCUUGGUGUCAGGGGGUGUCUCCUUCUACUGCCUAUCGCCCUUUGCAGCCACUGGAAUAAUCUUGCAGGAGCCAGGGCCCAAUAUUAUCUACCACUGUCCAUCUGUUCUCCAGCACAUCAGAGCAGCCCUUCCCCUGUGUGAGAUUCCUCUCUAGGGCAAGACUGAAGGGAGCAUCAAGGUUGCAAUGGAAGAAAUAAAUUGGAAGUGGAGCUGC